Molecule: non-coding RNA, 45 nt
Organism: Heligmosomoides polygyrus
Lineage: Eukaryota; Metazoa; Nematoda; Chromadorea; Rhabditida; Heligmosomidae
Source: Rfam
CCAACGGCCCUCUUUAGGGCCAUAUAUGGGUACUACACGAAUCGA